This 219-nucleotide long non-coding RNA is filed under the name Citrus x clementina. RNAcentral's name for it is "Citrus clementina (C. clementina) long non-coding RNA (CCLE_LNC006553)". The record is from RNAcentral. Lineage: Eukaryota; Viridiplantae; Streptophyta; Magnoliopsida; Sapindales; Rutaceae.
UUCGAGAACAAGCCCCUCUAGAGAUGAAUGUGCAGCUGACUCAAUCACUGUGGAUUUUGCGGCAUCAAUCCUAGUUGCCUUUCUUCGGCCGUAUUCUAAGAAUAAAUCCCAUUCUUGCUAAGAGCGGUAAUUCCUUUAGGCCACUCACUGGAACCCCAUGCCACAAAGCACCACCGCACCGCUGGCCGCUCGUACAACAACCACAACACAAAGCCGAUC